ACCUUCAACACAAGUUCACUUUAGAGACAGGACGAGUUAGAUUGCGCUUGGUGGGAACAAGUGCAAAUUUAAAAACAGAGUCAAUCAUAACGGGGGUGGGGGCUGGGAAAGGGCAAUUUAACCGUUUCUGGAGCCAGGAGUUAAGGUUUGCAUUGUGUACAUCCAGGCGCUGGGGCUCCUGCUGAAGUCCAGCCGCCCAUCAGUGCUGAGAAAGCGGCUCCUGGAGCUCCGGAGAGGCUUUGGGAACACCUAACCAGCGUGGGGGAAGCUUAGGAAGCAAAAAGGAAUUUACAGAGUAUUAGCAGAAAUUAUCCAAUACCGACACAAGCUCAAUUAGGUUUUUUUUUUCCUUUUUUUUUUUUUUUUUCUUUUGGUCUCUGUUGGCUGCUCUUGAACGUGAGUAAAUGCUGUGCAGGGAGAGAGGAGGGAGAGAGCCACACUGCCAUCUCCGAGCCACAGCCAGGAGAUGGACUGACAGAUUGCAAAUUAAACUAGUCCUAAUGUAAGAAUGAAUGCAGCCCCCCCCAAAUCUCUCCCAGCACCAGCCCGGCAGCAAAGAGCCCGGCACGGAGGGAGCGUGGCUGCGGCUGGGCUGGUCCAGGGAGGGACAAUAAAGCCAAUCCCGGGCAGGAAAAAUCACAAGGUGGAGUUGAAUGCAGUGGUUAACUACCAGCAAUAUGUUCUGAAGAUGAUGGUGUUCAGACAAAUACCCAAUUUGAUUCUGAUAAAUUGGAUGCAAGACUUUGACCAGCAUGAGAAGAACAGGCAUUGUGGAAACAGGUAGCAUCCCAGACCUGUGGAGGAGCUCAGCAGGAGGAGAACAAGUGGGGGGAAAUAUUCCCAUUGUGUUCUGCUGGUGGCUCAGGCAGUUUGAACAGAAGUCUGGGGUGGUCCAGCUCGUUGGAAACUUUUGUGCUCAAACCAGGAGGAUGCUGCAGCUGGAGCUAAUCCAUGAAUUUCAAAUCUGUGCCUCCGCCGGUUUUGACACCGCGCAGUGAAGCAUCCGAGCUCUCAGAUGUCUGGCUCUUCCGAGUUGUGAAAUGAGAAAACAAACAAACCCAACCAUUCCAGCCCUGUCAAUCUACUUCUCACUGGACAGAUGCCCUGGUGCCAGAAAAUCUUCAUCCCAUGAUCCCACACCUCUUGGCAGUGCCAAAAAAAAAAAUUAAAAAAAUCCAAAAAUCUACUGGACGCAAAAGCAUGACGGUUCCUCGCCUCCAAAAAAUGGUGUUUAUGGUCACACUGGGGCUUCCUGUGUGGGGAAAUGUGUGCAGCCUCUUGUUCUUGCGUUCCUGGUGUCCCAGAUAUUCCAGCAAGGUGCCUCUGGACAGUGAUGGAUUGACGGGCUAAGAAUUUGCCAAGGGCAUCAACAGCAGUUUUCCCAGGCUCCAGCACAAGGAUUAUGUAGUCAAUCCACAAAUGACUCAAAUCUUUGAAGAAAAGGACAUGGUUAUCAGAGAGGCUUUGACGACAGCAAGGACGGGAGUGCUAUCUGCCUUUUUCCAUCAGAGAUUCCCAUUCCCUUCAUUAACAUACUCAGGACAUCAGCACAGCCAUCAGGCCCGAGGGAAUCCCUUCCAACUUUUGAGGGAACGUGCACAAGACCUCGCCCCUGCGUUGUUUCAGACAGAUCAAACCAGAUUUGCCUCGUGUGAGGGUUCUUCAGCCCCACUGAGGAUGUGAUGUGAACGCUGUAAGUGGGAAAAGGAGAUGCCUCUACCUGCUCUGCCAGUGCCCUGUAAUGAAAAAUGCUUUUGGAGCAACACUGGAAACAAGCCAUCAAAAUAUCUGAUUAAACCUCUUAGGAAACUCUCACUAAUCACCUUCUCUGCUCUUGAUGGAAUGUAUUUAUGCAUUAUAAAUAUACUUACUAUGUGUGUGUGCUCCAUAAAUCACACCCAGCACUUGUAUAUGAUGUAUAAGCACAUUCUAUAGAACACACACAAAUACAGAUGCCAAGCUCCCACAGAGUUCAUCACUGGAAAAUGUUUGAAGGAUCUGAUCCUUAAUAUUUAAUGAGCAAGAUGCUAUUUCCUUCCUCAGCUUUUAUCUCUGGUUUGGCAUAGUCAUUAAAUUUGUUGUUUCCUUGCAAGAUUAUAUAAUUUAUGACCUAAUUUUAGAUUUUUGUGUAACCGCCUUGAAACACUGGUGGUGUAUUCCAAUUUCUUCCAGCAUUAGACACCAGCUCCAGCACGACUCCUGAGAGCUGCCCAUCAGCAAGGAGUCACAGGCAUGAAAGGAGAACAGCCCAACAAUACUCAGGCAGCGUUAGAAGAUUAGUUUUUGGGGGGUUUUUCCCUGCAAAAAAAAUGAUUUAGCACCAUUUCCAAAGCUGUCUGUGGUGUUGGCAGGAAUCCCCAGGUAAGACAGGCAGCACCCAGCAACUCCUGUUACUGAAAAUAUUUUCAUGCAGCUGCUUCUGACUUUCAGACUGCUCUGGGACAGCAGCCUGCAGUGCAGGGAGGGGUGUCUGGAGGUGGGAAGGAUGACACUCAGUGCUUUAAAGCCACUGCCAGCUCCUCACCCUCUGGAAUUUCCUCCCAGGACCAACCUGGCUGCUGAGCUGAUUUUCUGCUGCACAAGAUGCUGCUGGAUAACUCCAAAAUGAAUUAUUCUAAAGCUGCCACCACUUUUUUUUUUUUUGGUGUGUGCUUUCUGUGUGUCCAGAGUAAUUCAGAGAUGCUGUAAAUAGUGCCAUGAACUUCAGGUAUUCUGUCAAUUUAAACCAUAUUGUUGGGAACAGUCUUUCAUCAAAUCUAAUAUAUUGGCUGUUGCAUUAAUGCACUUUGAGAGCAUUUUAUCCUGGUGUUCCACAGGGAAGUGGCUUGUGGUUGAGGAAGGAUUUGAUGCUUCCUUUGUGCCUGCAGGGCUGUUUGGAGGAGUUUUCCUCUUUUUCCACCUUUUCCUGAAUAUCCAGCAGGGAUGGGGUGCUGCAUCCUCAGGUCAGCAGCAGGAACACAAGGGACACCCCUUUAACACAACAACUGCAUGUACAGGGUGAGGGGGGUGCCUACAUGAAAGAAAAAGCAUCCUCAUAAAAAGAGGACAUUAAUUCUUGGAUUCGAUAAAAUUGGAGAGUUUGUCUCCUUGGCUUUAAUGGAGCAGUUCCAGGAAAGCAGCAGAGAACAAAGUGUUUUCAGUAUCACAUAAUUCAAGAGUAAAAUCAUAAUUCCAAUUACCAUUGCAGGCACUUCUGGCCUUGGGAAACCUAUGCUAAUAUUUAUUAUUAUAUGAUUGACCUCUGAUUUCUUCAUCAUUUACAUUAGCAACCCUGAUAUUCUUAGUAACAUUCUUUAAAUCAUAGAAGCAGGUGUCAACAGUGCAUGAUGAAGUCACAUCCUGCAGAUUUUUUAUUUACUUAGUCCAUUUUUUCCUGGUUAAAUAACAUUGUGAGAUGCAGAAUCUCACCUCCACAGGGUCUCUAGGGGUGUAUGUAAUCAUGGAAUGCAUUUUCUAUAAUCUCACAAAAUGAGUCAAUCCUAUCAGAGGUACAAACAGUUUUACAAAGUCAGUAUUUCACUCCCAUCACUGCCUGACAUCAUCUUCCACACAGCACAAGAAAAUAUUUACUUGGCUCUUUGACAUGAAUUGCUGCAAAGCCUUUGGAACAAAAACCAGAAAGUGAGAAUUAAAAUGGAAUAACUUGGUUUAAUGAAUUUAUCCUCGUUUCUGUGUGCUGGAUUUAGAUGUCAGAUGAUUUCUUAUAAUGUUUGGGAUGGACAUGGACACCUCCAAUCCCUGUUCUUCAGUGAGGUGCCUACACACGGAUCACAGAGUUACCCAGAAUAUCCAAAGCUGGAAGCUGAUCCUCUUCUCCAUCAUCUAAAUAUUUUCUUUGCACAAGUGAGCAUUUCUCUGGAAGAAUUGAGACACUGCAUUAAUUUUCCAGGUGCAGUGUCCUGAUGCCCUGCUGGAUGUGUUUGGUCCAGCACCAGCCAGGAUGCAAAGCUGAGCAUCCACAGCCAUGACUUUCCUGCUCUUCACAGUAGAUGUUGCUGUCUUCCAAAAAUCCAGAUUAAUGUGAUUUUGAGGAAUGGGACUUUAUCCUACCCCCAAAACCUUGGCAAAUUCUGAGCACCCUGAUGAAGUAAUAAUCAUCUAGAAAAGGAAACAAUUCUCCCCUUUUUGAGGGGAUAAAGUGCAAUGGGAAUAGGAGUGCUCGGUGGAGAAUUCCUGGUGGCAGAAGGAUGGGCAGCAUGGAGAUCUCUGAGAUGGUUUGGAUGUCACUUCCAUCAAGCAGAAGGAAUGUUAAGCUGAAACUGCUCAUCAAAACUGAGACCUCAUGGAUUAUUUUGUUGGAAAGUCAAGAAAACAACCACUGAUUGUUUUCCCCAGGGCAGAGAUUUUGUGUUAGAGGAGAAAAUGAGAAAACAACCUGGCCCCAAAAGAGGGGAAAAAGGGAAAACCUGAGAUUAGAGCAGAGAAAAGCUAUCAAAAUUUGUAAAAGAAAUUUGAUGAAGCUCUGAUUAUAUCCAAAAUCCAUGCUUGUUUUGAAAUCCAAGGAACUACUGUCACAUUAUUUGUUCAGAGGGGCUCUGUAGUCAGAAAAUCCUCACCACUUGUAUCCCACUUUCAAAAGCAAAAUGUGUUCCAUUCUGAAAUCCUAAAAAACACCUGGAUUUAUGAUGCUUGGGAGUAUUGGAAUUACAUGUAAGGGUUUUCCCAGGAAUGUUGUUCUGGAAUGUUUGAGUGACACAAUCCUGGCACAGGUGCUGGGGUGGGUGUGGGCACAGGAGCACUUGAGGUGGGCUGGUGAUGUCCCUGCUCUUCCUGGGUGUCCCUUGGGACAUUGGAGCAUCAGGGUCUGGGUAAAUCCAGCCAGGAAUCUGCCACUGACUUCAGCAGAGCUGAAUUCCAUCCCAGUGUGACACAGGCUGGUGACAUGGAGUGAUGUCAGGUCACUGAUGGAGAACUGGAAAGAUUUGGUGUCACACAACUGAUCCCAUCGGGUUCCCAAAGUUCACUUGGGAUUUUUGACCAAAUUUUCAUUCCCAUUGCAAAUAUAUGGAUAGCAUGUUUAGGCAUUAUCCUUAAAAAAGUAAAUAAAUAAUUUCUUUAAGAGAUGGAUGGUCUGUGUAAUUUUGCAUUCUAAAUGUGAUUUAUAUUUAAAAAUAAAUUUGCAUAAAAUCUCCA
Molecule: long non-coding RNA, 5133 nt
Organism: Catharus ustulatus (Swainson's thrush)
Lineage: Eukaryota; Metazoa; Chordata; Aves; Passeriformes; Turdidae
Exons: 9
Source: RefSeq, a predicted model, not a curated record